UGUGGCAUCGCCUGUGACUCCUGUGCUCCCGCCCGUGCUCUGGGCUAGACGUCCUUUCACGUCAUCUCUUCCACAAAGCCUCGCCACCGCACACCAUCCCCGCAAAAAAUCUGCUCCUUGGGGUCAAAAUCGAUGUCGAAUUCAUCUUUGUUUCCCAAAGCACCUGGCACAAGGAGAAGUCAUCCACAGAGUCAUGAGGACACUCAGGCAGCCUCUGGAGAGGCCCACGUGGCAAGCGACUGAGGCCUUCCAUGAGCUACCAGCACCACCUUGCCAGCCUGGGACUGCACCACCUUGGAAGCGGAUCUUCCAGCUCCAGUCACUUCUGAUGACUGCAGCCCUGGUGACAUCUUGGCCGCAGUCUCAUGGGAUGCCCUGGGACAGCCCUUCCUGAAUU
Delphinapterus leucas (beluga whale) is the source of this 397-nucleotide non-coding RNA. Lineage: Eukaryota; Metazoa; Chordata; Mammalia; Artiodactyla; Monodontidae. The record is from RefSeq and is a predicted model, not a curated record.